CCUGAUGCAGCAACGCCGCGUGAGGGACGACGGCCUCCGGGUUGUAAACCUCUUUUAGCAGGGAAGAAGCGAAAGUGACGGUACCUGCAGAAAAAGCACCGGCUAACUACGUGCCAGCAGCCGCGGUAAUACGUAGGGUGCAAGCGUUGUCCGGAAUUAUUGGGCGUAAAGAGCUCGUAGGCGGUUUGUCGCGUCUGCUGUGAAAUCCCGAGGCUCAACCUCGGGUCUGCAGUGGGUACGGGCAGACUAGAGUGCGGUAGGGGAGAUUGGAAUUCCUGGUGUAGCGGUGGAAUGCGCAGAUAUCAGGAGGAACACCGAUGGCGAAGGCAGAUCUCUGGGCCGCUACUGACGCUGAGGAGCGAAAGGGUGGGGAGCAAACAGGCUUAGAUACCCUGGUAGUCCACCCCGUAAACGUUGGGCGCUAGAUGUGGGGACCAUUCCACGGUUUCCGUGUCGUAGCUAACGCAUUAAGCGCCCCGCCUGGGGAGUACGGCCGCAAGGCUAAAACUCAAAGGAAUUGACGGGGGCCCGCACAAGCGGCGGAGCAUGCGGAUUAAUUCGAUGCAACGCGAAGAACCUUACCAAGGCUUGACAUAUACGAGAACGGGCCAGAAAUGGUCAACUCUUUGGACACUC
RNAcentral lists this ribosomal RNA (636 nucleotides) under Plantibacter sp. Se2Pt_396. RNAcentral's name for it is "bacterial SSU rRNA". It matches the Rfam family "Bacterial small subunit ribosomal RNA", at positions 382 to 1029 of the family's 1533-position model. Lineage: Bacteria; Bacillati; Actinomycetota; Actinomycetes; Micrococcales; Microbacteriaceae. The record is from RNAcentral.